GUAUUGCAACACAAACAGUACUAAUGCCAAAAUGCACUAAAAUUAAUCUUGAGCUGAAGAAAAGGGAUCAAGGAGAAGGGCAAGUGGAUCUAAUAAAUAAG
Molecule: non-coding RNA, 101 nt
Organism: Neolamprologus brichardi
Lineage: Eukaryota; Metazoa; Chordata; Actinopteri; Cichliformes; Cichlidae
Source: RefSeq, a predicted model, not a curated record